RNAcentral lists this unclassified non-coding RNA (459 nucleotides) under Hevea brasiliensis (rubber tree). The record is from RNAcentral. Lineage: Eukaryota; Viridiplantae; Streptophyta; Magnoliopsida; Malpighiales; Euphorbiaceae.
GAAUCGGCCACCAAAAGGAGGAAAGUUGCUGAAGAAGAUGAUCAUGACAGUGAUGAUGAUACCAAAAGAAAUCAUGCGAAUGAGACUACAAACAACAGUGGUACUGGAAGGGGACGAGGUAGGGGUAGGGGUAGAGGCCGUGGAAGAGGUGCACGAGCAGUAGAGAAAGGUGACUACCAUGCUCACAGUGAGAAACUUGAAGACGCUGCUGCUGAUGUUUCACAUCAAAAGGAUGAUGAGAACCAAAAACAAAAUGAUGAAAGAAUGGUAGACUAUGUAGCAGAAUCAGCAGUAGAUUCAAAGAACAUUUCAGCUGCUAAAUGCUCCCCAGAAGUCGUUGCCCCUGCUAGAAACUUCGAUCUCAACAUAGACUUAAACGAGAGUGUGGAGUCCACACCAAUGCCAUCUGAAGUCCCUUUAUCAUCAACAGCAACACCAACAGCAACACCAGCACCAGCA